GACGAACGCUGGCGGCGUGCUUAACACAUGCAAGUCGAACGGAGAGGCCUGCUUUCCCUUGUGGAUUGCGGGUACUCGAGUGGCGAACGGGUGAGUAACACGUGAGUGAUCUGCCCCCAACUUGGGUAUAAGCCUGGGAAACUGGGUCUAAUUCCCGAUAGGACUGCAGGGUGGUGCCUGUGGUGGAAAACGAUUUUCUAGUGGUUGGGGAUGAGCUCGCGGCCUAUCAGCUUGUUGGUGGGGUAAUGGCCUACCAAGGCGGCGACGGGUAGCCGGCCUGGGAGGGUGGACGGCCACAUUGGGACUGAGAUACGGCCCAGACUCCUACGGGAGGCAGCAGUGGGGAAUAUUGCACAAUGGGCGGAAGCCUGAGGCAGCGACGCCGCGUGGGGGAUGACGGCCUUCGGGUUGUAAACUCCUUUCGACCGCGAGGAAGCCACCUGGUUGGAAGGGUGGUGACGGUAGUGGUAGAAGAAGCACCGGCUAACUACGUG
Molecule: ribosomal RNA, 494 nt
Filed under: uncultured bacterium
Lineage: Bacteria
Description: partial 16S ribosomal RNA
Rfam family: Bacterial small subunit ribosomal RNA
Source: RNAcentral